This 85-nucleotide transfer RNA is filed under the name Nitrosopumilaceae archaeon. RNAcentral describes it as "tRNA-Ser". It matches the Rfam family "tRNA". From Rfam's summary of the family: Transfer RNA (tRNA) molecules are approximately 80 nucleotides in length. Their secondary structure includes four short double-helical elements and three loops (D, anti-codon, and T loops). Further hydrogen bonds mediate the characteristic L-shaped molecular structure. tRNAs have two regions of fundamental functional importance: the anti-codon, which is responsible for specific mRNA codon recognition, and the 3' end, to which the tRNAs corresponding amino acid is attached (by aminoacyl-tRNA synthetases). tRNAs cope with the degeneracy of the genetic code in two manners: having more than one tRNA (with a specific anti-codon) for a particular amino acid; and 'wobble' base-pairing, i.e. permitting non-standard base-pairing at the 3rd anti-codon position. The record is from RNAcentral. Lineage: Archaea; Thermoproteati; Nitrososphaerota; Nitrososphaeria; Nitrosopumilales; Nitrosopumilaceae.
GCAGAGAUCGCUUAGCUUGGUAUGGCGCGGGCCUUGAGAGCCUGUGUGUUAUUAACACUCGAGGGUUCAAAUCCCUCUCUCUGCG